Molecule: long non-coding RNA, 238 nt
Filed under: Lathyrus oleraceus (garden pea)
Lineage: Eukaryota; Viridiplantae; Streptophyta; Magnoliopsida; Fabales; Fabaceae
Description: Pisum sativum (pea) long non-coding RNA (PSAT_LNC019280)
Source: RNAcentral
CAUGAUUUUUUUUCUCUCUAUAGGGUUUAUUUGAGGUGGCUUCUUUCUUUAUUUUUUAUUGGCUUUUAAUUGUCUUUUUUUAUUUCUUUGUUUUACACAGAGUUUGCAGCUAUAGGCACACAUUAUACUGAUUGAAACCUCUUUUCUUAUGCUUUGUGGUUGAUUUUAUUUUCCUUUUAUCAAUAUAUAAUAUUUUGUCAUUCAAAAUUUUUGUAUCAUAAAAGUCAUAAAGUUUAAG